CCAGUGCUUAUCACGGUGUCUGGCACAUAGUAGAACGCUCACUUAUUAUAUAUUAUAUUCUAUUAUUAUAUAUUUUAUAUAUUAUUUUUCUCAUAUAACCUUUAUUUGUUUGUUUGUUUGUUUGUUUCUAUGGCAGUGGGCUCAAGCUUUCCUGGUCACGCAGCCAAUGAGGUCAUAAUGGCUAGGCCAUUUCUCUAGGUAUGUGCGUCACCACCCUCGCUUUCUGAUUGGCUGGCAGUGGGGCGUGGCAACCCUUUAUAUUGGUUUCCAGGGCCACCAGCUUUCAGUUGGAGCUGAGGAGUCGGUGGGCUAGCAGGCUCGUGGGGAGGUCUCCAGAGGCAAGCCAAGCCGUUCCCUCCUGGCCCUGAGGAAGAAAAGUGAAGUGAAGAAACACCAACGCAAAAUAGCAUUAGUGAGUUCCUGGAGCAGUUAUUUUAAAAGACCGUUGAGUUUGGGUACAUUGGAGAUAUCUGCAAUUUUAAAGAAGUCAGGCAUUUGAAGAGAAAGAAUAAGUGGUAUGUACCAUCUUUGGGGUGGGCCUUGCAAGCAGGGUGAGUUCUGGGAACAGGAAAAGUGGGCCAGAAUCUAGGAAAAGGGAAAACCUGAAGGGUUAUAGGAAGUGAGACAUGAGUUGGCAUCACUUUGCUUAGUGCUGGGAGAAAGAUCAUUUACAUGAUCUUAUAAGAUAACUGCUCUCUGCCUAAAUCCAUAGGGCUUUAUUUCCCUUGGGAGUUUUCUCCUUUUCUUCUCCCAUGGUACUUCCCAGAGGGUCCCAUAAGACUCAAUGCAGGCUUCCAAGUUGACUUUUGAUUCUAGAGAAUCACUGGCU
Molecule: long non-coding RNA, 829 nt
Filed under: Monodelphis domestica (gray short-tailed opossum)
Lineage: Eukaryota; Metazoa; Chordata; Mammalia; Didelphimorphia; Didelphidae
Description: lncRNA (ENSMODG00000042827.1)
Source: RNAcentral